This 253-nucleotide ribosomal RNA is filed under the name uncultured bacterium. RNAcentral describes it as "partial 16S ribosomal RNA". It matches the Rfam family "Bacterial small subunit ribosomal RNA", at positions 524 to 776 of the family's 1533-position model. The record is from RNAcentral.
UACGGGGGGGGUAAGCGUUGUUCGGAAUUACUGGGCGUAAAGGGCUCGUAGGCGGCCAACUAAGUCGGACGUGAAAUCCCUCAGCUUAACUGGGGAACUGCGUCCGAUACUGGAUGGCUUGGAUUUGGGAGAGGGAAGUGGAAUUCCCGGUGUAGUGGUGAAAUGCGUAGAUAUCGGGAGGAACACCAGUGGCGAAGGCGACUUCCUGGCCUGUUCUUGACGCUGAGGCGCGAAAGCUAGGGGAGCAAACGGG